Chelonia mydas (Green sea turtle) is the source of this 1498-nucleotide long non-coding RNA. RefSeq lists it as uncharacterized. The transcript is spliced from 2 exons. Lineage: Eukaryota; Metazoa; Chordata; Testudines; Cheloniidae. The record is from RefSeq and is a predicted model, not a curated record.
UGCACUUGGCUCAAAAUCUUCAGCAUAUUCAAAAAUAAUUAAAAGCCACUUAAUUUGCUUUAACAGUUAGAUAUUUGAAUACUGUGAGUUUUUCAUAGAAGCAUAACCUUUCUGCUGAUUUAGAGCCUCCUAAUGAGUUGCUUCAGAAGGAUAAUGCACCAAAACUGCAGUCAUUAUUCAGAAAGAACUGAAAUCAGAGGGAGUCUUGCAUGAAAUAUGAUAGAAGGAUUUGGUCUAUUGUUUAUUUUUGAAGGAGAAGGUUAGUAGCCACUCAGAGUGGUUCACAGAGUGAUCUCAUAAGAGGCCUUGAGAGAAGGUAAUGGAAAUAGUAUGACAGCUACAGGCAGUUUGUCAGUGAGAGAGAGGCUCACAAGUCAGUCAGAUGGUCAGGCUGUGAUACGGGGGAGGAGGGAUUCUUCACUCUCUCAGUUCUGAUAUCCGUGCCACUAAAAUUAGCUUUUUAAUGUAGAAAUUUCCUGUACUCAUUGCAGUUUGUUGGGUCCUGUUAAUCUAACAUUGUACAGAAUAUACUUUUGGAGGGUAUAACUAGAGACCAUCUACAGCAGUGAUUCCCAAACCUUUUACUAAGGUGACCCACCAACUGCAUCUUAUUUUUGUUUUUUUGUUUUUUUUGCAAUCCAGCCAGGGUCCAGAUUCAUGGGGGAAAUACAAAAUCAUAAGCGAGAACCCUUCUCCUCACUUUGAUGAGAGGGCACUGACCACCCUCCAUAGCACCUUCUGCCCUGACACUGCAAUCCUAAUCCUGGCCUCGUGUGGAGGGGGGGUUGGAGAGCAAGCCUGCUCCACACUCACCACACAGCAAUGACUCCCACUCUGUGGGGCAAGGCUUGGUUCCCCGCUUUAGGGGUUGUGGCACUAUUCAGGUUUGGACCUGCUGCCCCUUCCUCAUGGCAGAGAGGUAGCUGGGACAAAUAUGAAUGACUGGUGUUGUGACCUGGCGCACAGGGUUGCACAAGUUUGGCCCAGCCAUCUCUCCAUCAUGGCAUAGUGUUAUAAAAAUUACAGCACUUACUGUUUUUUUUUUUUUUUUUUUUACCGGUACAUCCCUUUUGACUCUACCUUCCCCAAACAGUUGAGUUACUAAUCUAAUACAGGCAAUACAUUUUCCAUUUAUCUUUGAUUUUUGUUUUUAUUUUGGUUAACUGCAUUUCUAUAAAUGGGAUUUGGUGUUUCAGCCAUUGUAAUUAAAAUACACCUGCUGAUUUAAGUCACAAAUUCUAAACAGGUGCCUGUCUCUGUAAACAGGUGCCUGUCUCUGUUUUAUUUUCACCAUACAGGCUAUUUUUCCCAACAUGAUUGUUAUGUAAUAGGAAUCUGAGGGAGGGCAGAUGGAAGGAGUGGUAGUACUCUCCCAAGCUCUGACCUCAAGCCAAGCUCUUCACACUGAAGAUCCCCAGGUGAGAUUCCACUCUCAGAAGACUGGAUAAGUUCAAAACAUGAUUCGACUAAUUGUCAUGUCAUGGAAUUAUUACUUCAG